This 142-nucleotide long non-coding RNA is filed under the name Mustela putorius furo (domestic ferret). RNAcentral describes it as "lncRNA (ENSMPUG00000024535.1)". Lineage: Eukaryota; Metazoa; Chordata; Mammalia; Carnivora; Mustelidae. The record is from RNAcentral.
UAGAUCAGCGGUCUCAAAGAUCUGUGGACUUCUAGAAGCUUCUGACAUAUUUUCAAGAGUGACAGAAUUUCUCUGAUUUAGGUCAUAGUCCUACUUUUUUUGAAUACUGUGCGCCUUGAAGGAGGGGAAGACCAAAAUUGGU